This 877-nucleotide ribosomal RNA is filed under the name uncultured archaeon. RNAcentral's name for it is "bacterial SSU rRNA". It matches the Rfam family "Archaeal small subunit ribosomal RNA", at positions 21 to 903 of the family's 1478-position model. The record is from RNAcentral.
GGCGACCGCUAUUGGAGUUCGGUUAAGCCAUGCGAGUAGAAAGAAAUUAGAUUCUUUGCAUACUGCUCAGUAACACGUGGAUAACCUGCCCUACACUGGGGGAUAAUCUCGGGAAACUGAGGAUAAUACCCCAUAGACCACUACGCCUGGAACGGUGAGUGGUUGAAAGCUCCGGCGGUGUAGGAUGGGUCUAGCGGCGUAUCAGGUCGUAGGGGGUGUAAUGGACCUCCUAGCCAUCGACGCGUACGGGUUGUGGGAGCAAUAGCCCGGAGACGGAUUCUGAGACACGAAUCCGGACCCUACGGGGUGCAGCAGGCGCGAAAACUUCACACUGCAGGAAACUGUGAUGAGGGAACUCCAAGUGACUGCACAAUGUGUAGCCUUUUCUUGAAUCUUAAUAGUUCUUGGAAUAAGGGCUGGGAAAGACCGGUGCCAGCCGCCGCGGUAAUACCGGCAGCUCAAGUGGUCGUCGCUUUUAUUGGGCCUAAAACGUCCGUAGCCUGUUUGGUAAAUCUGUGGGUAAAUCAACGAGCUUAACUCGUUGAAUUCUGCAGAGACUGCCAGACUAGGGACCGGGAGAGGUAUGAGGUACUCUGGGGGUAGGGGUAAGAUCCUGUCAUCCUCAGAGGACCACCUGUUGCGAAGGCGUCAUACUGGAACGGAUCCGACGGUCAGGGACGAAGCCUAGGGGCACGAACCGGAUUAGAUACCCGGGUAGUCCUAGGUGUAAACGCUGUGGAUUUGGUGUGUGGGGUCCGCAAUGGGCCCCAUGUGCCGGAGUGAAGAUGUUAAAUCCACUGCCUGGGGAGUACGGUCGCAAGGCUGAAACUUAGAGGAAUUGGCGGGGGAGCACUGCAACGGGAGGAGCGUGCGGUUU